UUUAAGGGCUGGCAGCUGAGAGAAGAUUGCCUUCUUUUGGGGUUUUCUAGCAUGUUUUUAUCUUCAAAAGAGGGUCCAGACUGGAUUUUUUUGCCAUACCCCAGUUAUGAGCAGGCAAAUAUCUUCCAGAAGAUAAAUUUAAGAGGUCCAUGAUACUUACAGAUACAUCAUGCUGUGUUGUUGAGUGAAGGCUGCAGUUUCAUUUUGCUGUGGACCAAAAAGAUGCAGAACCUAACUACUAUCGGUGACCCAGAGAGUAGGACUAGAGACUAAAUGUAUCUUUAUUAUAUUCCUCUGAGUUCCUAUGAAGUCGAAAGGAAGACAAAACAGGGAAAGAAGCUAUGCACUCAGGUUUCAGAGAAAGAUUCUUACUAAUAUUAACAUGUAAUCAUAAGGAGCUAGAAACUCAAAUUUUCCACGGGUUCAUCAAUAACAUUACACAUUUUGACUGAAUCCAAAGAUCAGAGAGUUAAACCACAUAACUCAAUUCAGAACUGCAUUAGGAAGUUUGGAUUUGUAAUGAAAUAGAGUUGUAAAUGAAAUUUUUAUUUACCAAACUGUGUUGAAGUCUGGAGAAGAAUUGCAGUUGAAUUCAGUUAAUCUGGUUUACAAGGAUUGGAGAGUUAUUUUUUGUUCUUGUUUUUUAAGAUCGACUACUAUGAAAGAGAAAUGAGAGAAAUCUACUUUUCAAAUGACUUUUCAUUGAAAAUCUAGCACCAAAUAAAAAAGUGCUAUGGAAAAUGUUGGAUUUGAAUUUCCUUCCUCAACUAAUCACUGCACAAAGCCACUUGAGAAUUUGAAAUGUAGGAUGGAUGAGCAGGUUAGGAAUGAGUAAGAGAAUGAAAAAAUAACUCCCAUCCUCAUGGGAGAGAGCAGGUCUUCUGCUUCAAUGUGACAAUACUGUACUGUUAAGAACUCUAAUUCUAAAUGCUGCCCAAACCAUUGCUGUUAUUGUUUUGAGUACGUUAUUUUAGCCUAAAAGUCAGCAGUGUUUCCAAGAACAUGGUUUAUUGCAUGAUGGGAUUUUUUUUAGAGAAAUAUGGGUAACUGUGAGAAAUUGCUCAAAAUUUCCAUGUAAUGUUAUGAGAUCUCUAUUAACAUAUCUAAGUAUUCAAUUUGUCUUAAGAUUUGCAGUGUCUGUCAGUAAGAAAUAUUUUAUGUAUGUUUAUUAUAUGUAUGCAUAAUGCUUAAAGAGUAAAGGGAACUACUCAUCAGAUCAGCCAGCUGUACCUCAGACACCUACAUUAAAUGCAAUUUGCAAACAGAGCAGGUCCAUUUGUUCCCUUAAACUUAUGGCUUUGUGGCUGUUAUUCAUCUAAAUGUUUACAGUUCUUUCAAAGAUGAUAUUACAGAAAUGUCUCCAUUAUCUUAGAAGAUUGUUCAUCAGAAUCUUUGUUCUAGGAAAAGUCUAACAAGGGCUGUUAUAGGAAACUUUCCUCAGCAGUUCAUUGAAAUACAUUGUUAUUUGUAUUUAUGUCAGGCCCUCUCUGUCAGAGGUAGCACGUUAGAGUAGUUGGGUUUCCAUUUUGAUUCAUUUUGGCAGAUACUGUAGUAUCUACACAUAUAUUUCACUCUCAUUUACAUGAAAAUUACAUAUGUACACUUAAAAAUAAGUAGGCAAUAGCUACUUGAUUAUUUAAGUUUGUGUUUUGUUCAGAGAUCAGCCUUGGAAAUAAAAGCAAAUUACACUUCUGUUCAGGUAACUUACUUUUUUAAUGUGCUGGCAAAGACCUGAGAUACAUUUGGGUUGCAGUAAUGAUGAUUGUUUCCUUGAAUUCGAGUAAAAAUGUUUCAAUGUAGAAUGGAUUUUAUACAAAUGCUGAAAAGCAGUAUUAAUGCACAUAGAAAUAUAACCCUCAUACUCAGGGGAAUCUGGGUAACUGUUAGAAAAUAUGAAAAAUGUUGAUCUGCCAAGUAUAACACAACAAACAAACUAUGAACACCUUCAAAAAUCUAAAUGAGGAAAACUACAAGUUGACAAUCUAUAUGUAUGUUUAUCUGUGGUAUUUCUCUUUUAAUUUAGCCAUUUCUUCCUUCAACAUCAAAAUUUUCUGAGAAAAAUGAGUUUUCUUACCAAAUCGUUACUCUUGUGGCACUGUUUUCUUUCACACUGUAUUUUUAUAACAAAGCUCUUGGGGAUGAAGAGUUCAACUUCCAUAACAUCAAGAAAAUAGCAGGCAUAGACACAAGCAACAUUCUUGAAAGCCUGAAGAAUGCAGCUGCUAAUUAUACCUUACUUAAUGUGUUUGAAAGAGGCUAAAAAUCCAUUAACAGUCAGAACUUCAUUUUCUCAUACAAUCUUCUUUGAAAGGAAACUAUGAGCAAAUAGAGUUGCUAAGAGGUCUCCUGGGAUCAAAUCUUUGAUGGUUUAUUGAUCUCAUUUGAUGCUUUUAGAAUCAUUAAAAGUCACCUUUCUUUUGUCAUUCAGUCCUAGGGAGUAAAUUGAACAUUAUGUUCGUGUAGGUCAUUGAGUACUUUUUACAGUAGUUUAUUCAAGCAAAUGGAGCAGCGUGCUCCUACUAACUGACUGGCAAGAUUAGGAUAUCAGAGAAGAACAAAGAUUGUUAAAGAGAAACAAAGCACCAAUUUGCUUUGUAAUAGGCUGCUCUUGAAAAGCAAAAGAUUCAAUUACUUAAGAAAGCGAAGUGUCUGGGGGGCAUGGAUUUUUGUAUCUGCUUCUUUGUGGAAGACCUUGUCUAAAGCAAAUUCUUAUAGUAAAAACCACAUUUUUUUUUCUGUGCUAAGGGAACCAAAAAAAAACCUAACAAUAAACAACAACAGCAACGUUCUUUCAUCGUCUCCAGGCAAUUAACUGUUAAAAAAAAAAACAAACAUGUGUUUCCAAUAAAACUUUAAAUGAAGAGAUUAUUCUGAGAAAAUGAGAGCAAAUACCAGCAGAAAAAAGUGUCUUCUCUUGGGAGGAGCUCCACUAUGUGUAGUAUUGAAUACAGCUUAAGACAGCUGCUAAAUUAAGACACCUUUAUUAAAAAACAGACACAAGAAAAGACCCUGCAUCCAGAUUAAGUUUUUUUCUCUCUUAUGAAGCAGGAAAAUAUUAUUGUUUUGCUUAUAAUUAUGUUGCUAGCCAAAAAACCAAAAGUCACCAAAAAGGACUUACCUUCUGUAGUACUAGGCAGUAAAUGGGUGACAAGGAUGGUUCCCACUCAUCCACAGGCUCUGCUGUUAUACUGAAUUACAGCACCCAGUGGGAACUUCUUUUUGGUUGCAAAACAAAUCAGUUUUCUCAUGGUUAAUUUAACAGGUAGCUGCCAAUUGCAUCUGCCUGUUUUACCCCUCUAAUUUAAGAGCAUUUAAACUGUCCAGCUGAAUGACUCUCCCUUCAUUAGAGUGUAAGCAAGGCACAUAACCUGUCAUCUACAUUACUGAAAGCAGUCAUGAUCUUCAUUUGUGUUGUAAUACAAUCUACUUUCUCUGGUUGUCACCUUUUCCAGUAAAGAAGACUCUGGCUUAGCAGUGCUGUUAGGUACGGGUAGAGGUAAUAAACCUAUUUCCUGGCAUGUUGAAUUCAUCCUGUAUAACCCAGCAAUUAUUAGAGCCUUAUUAACUUCUCCUCUCAGCUUUAAAAUAUGGAUUCAGAUGAAGCUUUAGCAGUUCACUUUGUGAGCUCUAGAGGACGCCACAUCUAUUAAAACCAUUUGUCCCUACCUCUAUUUAGAUGUGCUUCUUAUUUCUGUGUAUACAACUGGGUGAAGUAUAUGUAUGAGGGUUCAUUUGUUGGAAAGAAAACAGCCAACCUCUGAUCCAAGGAUUUCUUACAUUCCAUUUCUCAUUUGCUAUUUGAAGUCAUUUUCUGAAGAUUAUAUUUCUUGCUUCCAGGCACCCUCAUUGAAUAUAUGUGGCUUUCAGCCAAACCUCUUAUCAGCCCUGCUUCCCACUCUUACUUUGGAGAAGUUAAUAAUAAUAUUCAGAUUUCCUUUUUUUUUUUCUGUCUAUAGUGACCUAAUCUGUGUUUGACUUCCGAAUUUAGGAAUGCAUGAAUUCUUUGGCACAUUGAACAGAACAGAUGAAACUCCCCUCUUGGAAAGUACACUGUGUUUCAUUCAUGUAUUCCUUCAACUGAAGUGACCGGUGAUUUAAUUAUGUCACUCUACAGUGUCAUAGUGGUAUACAUCAAGCAGAUAUGCUGUUGUUGUUUUUUUUAAUAAAUGUUCUAAUGCAUGAAAAAAGUUCAA
This is a non-coding RNA of Meleagris gallopavo (turkey), 4193 nucleotides long. The record is from RefSeq and is a predicted model, not a curated record. NCBI's taxonomy places the organism in Eukaryota, Metazoa, Chordata, Aves, Galliformes, Phasianidae.